GUCUAUGGCCAUCCCACGCUGAACGCGCUCGGUCUUUUCUGAUCUCGGAAGCUAAGCAGGGUCGGGCCUGGUUAGUACUUGGAUGGGAGACCUCCGGGUAAUACCGGGUGCUGUAGGCU
RNAcentral lists this ribosomal RNA (119 nucleotides) under Zalophus californianus (California sea lion). The record is from RNAcentral. Lineage: Eukaryota; Metazoa; Chordata; Mammalia; Carnivora; Otariidae.